Long non-coding RNA from Nomascus leucogenys (northern white-cheeked gibbon), 370 nucleotides. RefSeq lists it as uncharacterized. The record is from RefSeq and is a predicted model, not a curated record. NCBI's taxonomy places the organism in Eukaryota, Metazoa, Chordata, Mammalia, Primates, Hylobatidae.
GAUUCUCCUGCCUCAGCCUCCCAAGUAGCUGGGAUUACAGGGGGCUCAGACCGCUGAUCUGCAGCCCAUCUCGAUGUGCCUCAUGGCUACUGAUCUCAUCCCUGCAUUCUUCUCCUGCUUCCACCAGCUUUAUUAAGGCUCACUCUUCUGAGGUCAUUCCGAGGCUUUCUUCUGGGCUUGCAUAACUGGGACUUCCUGUACCACCAGUUCAAUUCUGCCUAGAGCUGAGGACCACGCCAGAUAAGCAAGUCCCAGAACCAGCCACUGCUCAGGACAGGAUGCUCAAAGUGAUGCCGGGCGGCCAGCCAGACUCUGGAUCCCUAGGGCUUUGCCGGAGGUAGUGCAGGUCAAGGUAAGUGGGAGAUCUACA